RNAcentral lists this ribosomal RNA (253 nucleotides) under uncultured bacterium. RNAcentral describes it as "partial 16S ribosomal RNA". It matches the Rfam family "Bacterial small subunit ribosomal RNA", at positions 524 to 776 of the family's 1533-position model. The record is from RNAcentral.
UACGUAGGGGGCUAGCGUUGUCCGGAUUUAUUGGGCGUAAAGAGCGUGUAGGCGGCCAAGUAAGUCCGGUGUGAAAACUCGAGGCUUAACCUCGAGAUGUCGUCGGAAACUAUUUGGCUAGAGUCCGGAAGAGGAGAGUGGAAUUCCUGGUGUAGCGGUGAAAUGCGCAGAUAUCAGGAAGAACACCUAUGGCGAGAGCAGCUCUCUGGGACGGUACUGACGCUGAGACGCGAAAGCGUGGGGAGCGAACAGG